Molecule: transfer RNA, 65 nt
Filed under: Cheirogaleus major (Greater dwarf lemur)
Lineage: Eukaryota; Metazoa; Chordata; Mammalia; Primates; Cheirogaleidae
Description: tRNA-Pro
Source: RNAcentral
CAAGGAAUAGUUUAAGUAGAAUUUCAGCUUUGGGUGUUGAAGGUGGGGCAGUGCUUCUUCCUUGA